RNAcentral lists this transfer RNA (81 nucleotides) under Streptomyces termitum. Its description in RNAcentral is "tRNA-Thr". The record is from RNAcentral. Lineage: Bacteria; Bacillati; Actinomycetota; Actinomycetes; Kitasatosporales; Streptomycetaceae.
CGGCCGUGUACGUGACGGACCCGGACGGCUGCUUCGUCCGCAGCCGGACGCACGGCGCGUUCCGGCUCGCGGCCGGGCCGG